GACGAACGCUGGCGGCGUGCUUAACACAUGCAAGUCGAACGGAAAGGCCCUGCUUUUGUGGGUUGCUCGAGUGGCGAACGGGGGAGUAACACGUGAGUAACCUGCCCUUGACUUUGGGAUAACUUCAGGAAACUGGGGCUAAUACCGGAUAGGAGCUCCUGCUGCAUGGUGGGGGUUGGAAAGUUUCGGCGGUUGGGGAUGGACUCGCGGCUUAUCAGCUUGUUGGUGGGGUAGUGGCUUACCAAGGCUUUGACGGGUAGCCGGCCUGAGAGGGUGACCGGCCACAUUGGGACUGAGAUACGGCCCAGACUCCUACGGGAGGCAGCAGUGGGGAAUAUUGCACAAUGGGCGGAAGCCUGAUGCAGCAACGCCGCGUGCGGGAUGACGGCCUUCGGGUUGUAAACCGCUUUCGCCUGUGACGAAGCGUGAGUGACGGUAAUGGGUAAAGAAGCACCGGCUAACUACGUG
Molecule: ribosomal RNA, 468 nt
Filed under: uncultured bacterium
Lineage: Bacteria
Description: partial 16S ribosomal RNA
Rfam family: Bacterial small subunit ribosomal RNA
Source: RNAcentral